Long non-coding RNA from Prinia subflava (tawny-flanked prinia), 8142 nucleotides. RefSeq lists it as uncharacterized. The transcript has 3 exons. Lineage: Eukaryota; Metazoa; Chordata; Aves; Passeriformes; Cisticolidae. The record is from RefSeq and is a predicted model, not a curated record.
UCCAGAAGUGUGAAGGACAAGCCAUGCCAGGCCAUUUGCACUGGAGAUGCAUUUAGCAUAGCACUGUCUGCAAAAGAGGCACAGAAGGAGUUCUGAGCAGCAGCACAACCAGAUAACAUCCAAAGGAGUGCUGGGAUCCCUCUGCCAGUGCUCACCCUGUGAUUUCCCUGCUGAAGUGUGAAUAGCACAGGAGGAGAUUGAAGUCCUCUCUGAACAUUUGAUUCUUCUCAGGAGCAGCUGAACAUGCUGUUGACACACCACUAGGCGUGAAUUCUUCCACCAGAUGAGGAACAUUGUAGAAAUCCAGAAGAUCAAAGGCAGCAGUUAGGACAGCAGAUGAUUUCAGAGCUGUUGUGCCCCUGAACCGCAGCUGGAUAGGACUGAAGGUGCAGCCUCAUGGGCACACAGAGCUUCCCCCACAAAAUAUCAGCCUUGGCUAUGCUGAAGGAAUUCCUGAGAUCUGUGGUCUCCAGUUCUCCUUGAUGGACACACAAAAGCUGGCUCCGAAGACACUGAGCUCCUGCACAGACAGAAACACUUCUCCUCCCUGGAUUUAUGUGUCAUAAAAAACCAGAGGGCUGUAUUUGUCCAAAGAGCAAUUAUGAACAGGGAUAUGUCUAGUAUUGUCAGCCAUACUAGACAAUCCAGGGAUGAAAUAUCACUUCCAGAAUGGCUGGAACAUCCAGUGCCUCUUCCUUGAUCCCACAACAAAGGCUGAAAAUAGUCUGCUUUCUUGAGUACAAACAUUCCUCCACUAAUGCAGACACACAGAUGCAGGAAGUUAAGCACCCUGAGACAACUGCUGCUAUUUGUGCGUGACAGUCCCAAUACAUCUUCGAAAAUAAUGGAAAUACCAAACCUCUGUCAGAGAGGUUUAGGCAGAAAUUUCAUCAAUUCCACAGCAUUCACCACAUACUUUUAGCUGAAGUGAAUUAAUAAUGUGAAGCAUUCAAUGUCAUGGGAAGGGCCGGGCUUCUGUUGUGUUGGGAAGGAGCUGACAAGAAAGAUGGAGAGAGAAUGUUUACAAGGGCUGGAGGGACAGGACACAGGGAAUGGCUCCCAGUGCCAGAGGGCAGGGAUAGAUGGGAUAUUGGGAAGGAAUUGUUCCCUGGCAGGGUGGGCAGGCCCUGGCACAGGGUGCCCAGAGCAGCUGUGGCUGCCCCUGGAUCCCUGGCAGUGCCCAAGGCCAGGUUGGACACUGGGGCUGGGAGCAGCCUGGGACAGGGGAAGGUGUCCCUGCCUAUGGCAGGGGUGGCACUGGAUGGGCUUUAAGGUCCAUUCCAACCCAAACCAUUCUGUGGUUCUGUAUUAUUCGGCCCAGAAACCUUUAACUUCAGUGAUCAGGCACAUCCGUGACCCACAUCCCAAGCUAUUAAUGCAUUAAGUGAGUUUACUCUGAAUUGUUGAUGUAAUUUUAGGAAAAAACCUCCCAUGUUUAUCCAAGAAAUCCAAAAGGAAAAAAUAGAACUCACAUGAAAAGCCAAACUGCGAAAUCUGCAUUUGAUUUAUCCUAUUUUUUUUCCCCUUUGGUUUAAUUCCAUUGACUUGAUCAUGGGUAGGUACAAUUGUGAAGAUCAUACAGAUCUCAUCCACCCAAAUUCUCUCUGUGCAAAUUGGGAAUGAUGAAUAAAGUCUACAACAAAAAAUGGCUUUGCUGAUAAAUAAUCUUGCACAUAUUUCCUUGUAGUUAAUUACCUUUCCUACAGUUUUAACAGAAAACUUGCUGUUCAUUAAGUUUUGAACAGCAGCUCCACCAGUGGGUGCAAUAUUUAUGUUUCUUGCAACCAUGUCCUAGAAUCAAUACUGCCACUUUUAAAUGCAAAAGACCUGUAUUGAAACAGAGAUGAGAAUGUAAGUACAAAAUCCCCCAGAACACAGCCCUUGAUCUCUUUGGUGGGUUUAAAAAGGGUUUCAGAUCCUCUCUUGAAACAUUCACCAAAGUUGGGUCAGAAGAAAUCAAAGUAAUUUAGAUCCAAUCUCUCUUCAAAAAUGAAAUGAGCAGAAGUUUUAUUAAAAGGAAAUGAAGAGGAAAUUGAACUUUCAUAUUUCAUGGUGCAAUUGUGGUGACAGAAAACAAUAUUCAUUGAUAGGAAGUUUACAAGAUAGUUAUUUAUAUGUCUGCUGCUCUGCUGUGGGAGUUUUUUCACAGUGAAGGGCAUAUAAUUUUUAAGGAUAGAGUGGAUCUGUAGCAGAGUUACCUGUGGAUAUUCCAGUAGUAUUCUGAAUACAAGACUUUUUCCAUGCUUAAGAUGAGAAAGCACAAAUUUUAAUUGAAAUGUGUACUUUAUGAGGAAUUUCAACAGGAGAUGCUUAUGGAUAAUGUAAAUUUCACCUGCAUAAAAGCUGCAUAGUCCUGUAGCUUUCUGAGAUGGAAAAACUAAAUCACUUGAACUGAAAUCAUAGGGCUGAGGAAGAUUUGGAAUGUAAUGGAGAUGCCAUCAUUCUGUGCAGCAGAACAACCACGAGGACAAGGAGAAAACAUGCAGCCAGGCACAGGUGGGACUCACAAGUUAGCACAGAGGAAAGAGAGAUGUACAUUUAGUUCCUAAAGGUGAUGUUUCCACAAUUCAUCAUGGGAGGGGAAGCAAUGGCUUGAGAAGAUGAUUCCUGUUCAGGGGUUGCUCCUCAUGAUUUUUGAACUCAGUUAAGUCACCUCCCUUUCCACCCCCUCCAAAGUAAACUGCUGUGACCAACUUUACUUGAACACUAUCAUAGGUGUUUAGGCCCAACUUUUGACAAAUGUCCAAUAAUUUUGAUCUCCACCAAUUCAGGCUACUGAAGCAGUACUUAAAUGCAGCACAUCAAUUAAAGUGAUUAUUAAAAAGUGGCUUGGGUGACUCAGUCUCAGCAUUUUUGAAGCCAACACCUGAAAAGAUUGGCAUCCUAGAGGGAAAUGUAAGCUACUAUUUUUUCCUCUAACUGCAAUUGAGCAUAGCCUAAAAAUGUUCAUCAAUGACAGGUGAAAGGAAUGACAUUUCAUUCUCAUAGUUUCUGCAAUGCAAACGUAGGUAAAGCUCUCAGUUUAGAAAAAAAGAAUUAGUUUUAAAGUUUCCCAGUGUGAAAAAAAAGUUCAGAGCUACACCUUUGCUGUAAAAUAUUGCCUAAGAAAAUUAGUCAAAAUAUUCUUUUAUGAGAAAAGAGAGAAAUCCAUUCUGAGUCACACAAUUCAAAGGAAAAUAAUGUGCUUUCCCUAAUACACAUCUAUAACAUCAUUACAGCUGACAGAGAAAAGGAAGAAUCUAUAUGUAAUCAAAAUUUAACAUUGCAAACCAAUGUUCUUAAAGCUUCCAUUUUAAGUGCGUACUUUGAAAAUGUUCUUUCUGUUCAGCAGAAGAAUUUUCAAAUACAUGGAAUACUUUUAAUACACCUAUGAAAAAAAAUAACCCUCUACUUCAAAGCUGUUCCAGCUCAUACAAUAAAUAGAUUGUCGUGCCUGAGAGUUGAUGGUGAGUGGUGGAAAGGAAGAACUGAAUUUUGAUUUUUUUGUUAUAAAAAUAUAGAGAAAAAUGCUGCAUGAUGUUACUAACCUGCAUUAAGACAAUUGUGAGUUAAUUACAUCUAUAGCCACUAUGAAAAUCUUGGAAACACUGUCUCACGGAUUUGUCCAUUUAGCAGAUGGGUUUGGAUAAGUGGAGGACAUCAAGAAUUACAUCAAAAAAUGACAUUAAAACAAGACUUGCGGAGAAGUGUGGGAGUUCAACUUGUUGGGAUAUACAGUGGCCUGGCCUCAACUGAUUUUCCAAGAGGCAUCAACCUGAGGCCAUGGGAAAUGGGAACAUAGGCAGGGAAACUUAUGUUUAGGUUAUGGUGAGAAGAAAGAGAUCAUGGGAAUUGUUAUGCAGAUUAGGCUGUUCCAAAUAAGGUUAUGUGUUAGUAAUUGGUCACUUGCUUUUCUGUAUGUGGUUACAUUGUUGUUCACAGGUUCUUUGUUCUAUCACCAAGGUUAUAUAAUCUUCUCUUCCCUGUAAUAUUUGUCUUCUGUUGGCUGCCCAUCCCAGGGCUUCAUCCCUGGGGCUACUGUGUACAGCCUUAAUAAAUUGCUUAUUGGGCAAUCACAGUCGUACUUGCUCCUGUAACUUCACUGGUAUCCAUGGUAUCCACUGGGAGCCCCAGCGACGGUCGUCUUGGUUGAGCCGGCGACCCUGUUCACCCUGACCUGCUCCUCAAGUCAGGCUGACCAGACCACGACAGAGGAGGCCAUGCAGGCAGAUGGCAGAAUGAUGGCAGCUGAAAAUCACCUGGCUGACACCAAUUAACAAAAAUACAACAAAAAUUAAGUGACAGAGAAAUUAACUUACAGAAGCAGAAGAGCUUCUAAAUUACUUUUAAACUAAUGAAAAGAGCAAAAAUAGAUUUUCCAGGUCUUUCAAAUACAAAAGAACCUUGGGUGCAGCAUGUUCAGAUAUUUUCAAAACAUCAGGUUGUAUGGGUGUUCGGGGUUAGAUUUGGUUUUUUUUUCUUCUCACAGAAUUUUUUCCCAUAAGUUUCCAAGAAGCCUUGAUGACUACUUAGUCAGAACAAAGAGUACUUGAGAGAUAUAGCAGCACGAGGCUACACCUAUUGUUUAUGAGUCCCUGGGAGUGUCCCUCAGAGGGGAGAGAUGAUGAGCUUUGGGAAAGGCAGAAAGACAGAUCUGGGGGAGGGGGAGGCACUCUUGCUCUCAGCGCCGAGGAGGACGGUCAGGCUGCCCUCUGCCUCUGCCUCGUCCUGGGAAAUCUAUCGUCAUCUGCUGUGUACCCGGGAAUCCUGAGCUCGUUUUCUCCAGCCUCCCCCCACCGCCGCUGCUUCUUCGGAGCUUUGAGGUUCCCCUGCUACUCUGUAGCCCUGCACUGCCCAGCCCUGCCGGGACACCCCUGCUGCUCCAGCUGCCAGUGCAGAGCUCCUCAUCUCAUCCACCGGCCCGGGACUUUCCUCCCUUCCAGUUCGGCCUCUCGGAGUCCUGCAGGGGCACCGAGAUAAAACUGCCCCGGGCUUCCUGUGAAAGCCCUCAAGGUUCUUGGUUCUGUUUAUUAUUGAUGCUCUAGUUGUUGUUUGUUUGUCGUUUUGUCAUAUAUACUAGUAAAGAACUGUUAUUCCUACCCCCAUACCUCUGUCUGAAAGCUCAUUUAAUUUUUUUUUUUUAAAUUGGAAUAAUUUGGAGGGAGGGGAUUUGAAUUCUCCAUCUCUAGGGAGGUCCUGCCCUUUCCUAGCAGAUAUCUGUCUUUCAAACCAAGACAAUGGGUCAAUUACAGUUCUCCAAGGCAUCUGAAAAUAUUCCAGAAUGGAAUGGAUUUGGACAUUCUGUUCUGUAGCAUCACUGUGAACACAGCCAGCUUAUUAUAUUUUUCAGAAUCAUUUCUAUCCACAUGCAAACCUCCUGCUCACACUAUGUUUAUUUAGUAGUGGUGCUCAUCAUUUUCCCAUUGAAUCCUUUAGAAAUAUUUUCUUUCAUGGAUAGAGGCACAGGAGAGAAGUUAAGGAGAUGUAGGAAUUGUGACCAAAUUGAGGAUAAAUUGGGUGAUAAACAUUUGUCCUGUGGUGGUUGGACAGAGAACAAAUUCCUGAUGAUCACAGACUCUAAAAUGGCAGGACUCCUUCCAAAGUCUCUUUUGCAUGCAAAGAUUCCAGAAUAAUCAGAUAUAUGAAGUCAGAGUCAGAAAGUAAAAAAUAAAAAAGCACAAUAAACAAAGAUUUAAUCACUCCAUCCAAUGUGGAGAAAGAGGCCCCAUUCUAAACUCCCUUAAUAUGGAAUUAAUUCCAAGCAUGAGGAAUGUCUCUGAUAUUGCAGUCACCAUUUUUCAGUUUGGAAAUUAUGAGCUGUUCACUCCUCUCUGGGGACUGGGCUUUUAAUCAUACAGAUGUCCACUAUAAAUCCUCUGUUUACUUUGGAGUAUAAUAGGUGAACUCACAGCAUCUUUGUGCUACAAUAAAUCUGCAGGCUCAGACAGAAUGCUCAUGAUUACUUUCUAAAUUCUUUCAAGGUCAUUCUACAUGAUUUCAUGCUACAUAACAUCCUUUCUCAGUCCAUUUCACACUGAGAAAAGAUCAUGAUAAACAUUGAUUUUUCUCUGCUGGUAUUCCUGAAUUCCAUCACAUCACCCCACCACAUGCACACUCUGAUACAUCACAUUUUAGUCAUUCAAUUCUAAGCUCUUGUGUAGAAACUGAAAGUUCAAAAAGCCAAAUAUGCUAAGAAAAAAAAAAAAAGAAGCUUAUUUGGUGCAAUUAUUUGAAGAUUAGAUUGAAAAAAAUACGAAGAAAUGGGUGUUUCUUCCAAUGGGAAAAGCAUUACUGGAAGUAGAUAAAUGCACAAAAAGCCACACUUCAAAUUGCUGAGGAAUUUAAAUGUUAAAACAAAGAGCCAAUUUUAGAUGGAAUGUUUGUUUGACAUGUUUCUAUGAGCAAAUGCUCUUCAUGAAUUAUUCAGCAUCAAAAAAAAAGACAUGAAUGCCUGAAAGAGCACAGAGACCCAGCCCUGCAUGUGGUUUCUCCAGCUUUCUGGCAUGAAAGGAGUGCAGAAGGUGCUAAUAAUACUUCUCUCAAGAGAAAGAGAAUUCCUGCAAGAAAUAUUCACAGGCACAGACAAAAAUUAACUGCUUGAUUUCUACUGAAUCUUAUUGCCUCAGGUGACUCAUUAUCCAAAUGACUUCCUGUCUAUGAAGAGAUUUAAGAUUAAUGGAUUAAAUUCCCUAAAUUCUUGGUGAAUUUAUUAGUUAAUAAGAUGCUGCUAUUUGCUAUUUGAUUAAAAAUUGUUAAGAGUUCAUUUCAUCCUUUUAUAAAGACCAGAAUUAUCUUCUUUUUGUGCAAAUACCCAUUUCUGCCUGCUUUGGGAGGAACAAGAACAAUGUCCCUUGUGAGAAUGUCCUAAUGUGCUACUGCCAUUCCUCAUUAAAAAAGCACAACUGUUUCUGUCAUGGAAUGAGGGAAUCACAGAGAUGGAUAUUCUCAUCUCCUGAGUGGAAAGGACCCACCAGGAUCAUGGAUCCAGACCCUGUCCCUGCCCAGGCCCCCCAACAAUCCCCCCUGUGCACCCCUGGCAGCGCUGUCCAAAGGCUCCUGGAGCUCUGGCAUUCCCUGGAGAGCCUGGGCAGUGCCAGCACCUCUGGGGGGAGCAGAACCUGUCCCUGCUCUGCUCUGAGCCUGCCCUGGGCCAGCUCCAGCCACUCCCUGGGUGCUGUCCCUAGCCCAGAGCAGAGCUCGGAGCUGCCCCUGAAGCCCUGGGGAGCUCUGCCCUCAGCUCCUCUGCUGCAGCUGAACCAGCCCAGUGCCCUCAGCCACUCCUCCAGGCCCUUCAUCCUCAUGGCCUCUUUUGGAAACUCUCUAAUGGCUUAAUGUCUUUUUUUUUUUUUUUUUACCUCUUGGUGCCCAGAGCUGCCCCAGAACUUGGGGGGAGGCUGCCUCAGCCCAGAGGGACAAUCCCUCCAGCCGGCACUGCUGGGCCUCAUCUCCCAGGACAGGGAUGUCCCUCUUGGCUCCAGGGUACUGCUGACUCAGAUCCACCUGGCCAUCCAGCAGGACCCCCGGGUCCCUUCCCAUGGCCACUCUCCAGCCUCUCAUCCCCUGUCUGUCCGUGUAUCCACGCUGCCUCAUCCCAGGUGCAGAAUCCGGCACUUCCCGUGUCGCACCACUGGUGAUUCACAGCCCUCUCAUUUGUCAAGGUCUCUCUGUAGGGCCUCCCUGCCUUCCAGUCAACAACUCCUCCCAAUCGAGUAUCAUCUGCAAAUUUACUUGAUAUUCCUUCAAGUUGUAAAAAUGGUUUGGUAAAAAUGAAAUGGUUUCACUUUCCAUGCGACUACCUUAGGAAUGGGGCUUUACCUGUGGUGGUGUACUACUUACAUGCUGGUUUUUACUCACUUUUUGCCAUACACAAGCAAACUGAUACCAGACCUGUUUGUGGAACAUCUCUCGGUGUGAGGGAAGACACAUUUCUUCUCACCACCCCAUGAAACCAAUCUUUCCACAGGGUAUUUCUCAGCUUUGAUUACAAGUUUAGGAACUCUUGGAGCUGGCACUUGCUUUGUAGAUCAUCGUGUUUAGUAGCAACCAACAGAUUUAGCUAAACCCUUUUUAGAACCCUUUUAUGCUUCCAGGCUCCACAGUUUCUUAUGGCAAUAAACUAAACUUAACAUACUGUGGAAAAGGUAGUUCCUUUUAUCUGCUUGA